AACGAACGCUGGCGGCAUGCCUAACACAUGCAAGUCGAACGAGACCUUCGGGUCUAGUGGCGCACGGGUGCGUAACGCGUGGGAACCUGCCCUUAGGUUCGGAAUAACUCCCCGAAAGGGGUGCUAAUACCGGAUAAUGUCUUCGCACCAAAGAGUUAUCGCCUUUGGAUGGGCCCGCGUUGGAUUAGCUAGUUGGUAGGGUAAAAGCCUACCAAGGCGACGAUCCAUAGCUGGUCUGAGAGGAUGAUCAGCCACACUGGGACUGAGACACGGCCCAGACUCCUACGGGAAGCAGCAGUGGGGAAUAUUGGACAAUGGGCGAAAGCCUGAUCCAGCAAUGCCGCGUGAGUGAUGAAGGCCUUAGGGUUGUAAAGCUCUUUUACCCGGGAUGAUAAUGACAGUACCGGGAGAAUAAGCUCCGGCUAACUCCGUG
Molecule: ribosomal RNA, 433 nt
Filed under: uncultured bacterium
Lineage: Bacteria
Description: partial 16S ribosomal RNA
Rfam family: Bacterial small subunit ribosomal RNA
Source: RNAcentral